This 706-nucleotide ribosomal RNA is filed under the name uncultured bacterium. RNAcentral's name for it is "bacterial SSU rRNA". It matches the Rfam family "Bacterial small subunit ribosomal RNA", at positions 8 to 696 of the family's 1533-position model. The record is from RNAcentral.
AGGGUUUGAUCAUGGCUCAGGACGAACGCUGGCGGCGUGCUUCAUACAUGCAAGUCAAGGAGAACGCAUUCUUCGGAAUGCUAUUAAACUGGCGAACGGGUGAGUAACGCGUGGGCAACCUGCCCUAGAGAUUGGGAUAACUUCGGGAAACUGGAGCUAAUACCGAAUAAUGCAGCGGAUCCUUUGGGAUACAGUUGUUAAAGCGGGCUUCGGCUCGUGCUUUAGGAUGGGCCUGCGUCCGAUUAGCUUGUUGGUAAGGUAAAGGCUUACCAAGGCAAUGAUCGGUAGCUGGUCUGAGAGGAUGAUCAGCCACACUGGGAUUGAGAUACGGCCCAGACCACCACGGUGGGCAGCAGUAAGGAAUUUUGCGCAAUGGGGGAAACCCUGACGCAGCAACGCCGCGUGACCGAUGAAGCUUCUAGGAGCGUAAAGGUCUGUCGUAAGGGAAGAAAAGUUUAGAUGUAAAUAAUGUUUGAACCUGACGGUACCUUACAAGAAAGCACCGGCUAACUUCGUGCCAGCAGCCGCGGUAAUACGAGGGGUGCGAGCGUUGUCCGGAAUCACUGGGCGUAAAGGGUCCGUAGGCGUUUCAACAAGUCAUUUGUUAAAGACACCGGCUUAACCGGUGGAGUGCAUUUGAAACUUUUGAAAUAGAGUAUAGGAGAGGAAAGUGGAAUUCCUGGUGUAGCGGUGACAUGCGUAGAUA